GAUGAACGCUGGCGGCGUGCCUAAUACAUGCAAGUCGAGCGAACAGACGAGGAGCUUACUCCUCUGACGUUAGCGGCGGACGGGUGAGUAACACGUGGAUAACCUACCUAUAAGACUGGGAUAACUUCGGGAAACCGGAGCUAAUACCGGAUAACAUGUUGAACCGCAUGGUUCAACAGUGAAAGACGGUCUUGCUGUCACUUAUAGAUGGAUCCGCGUCGCAUUAGCUAGUUGGUAAGGUAACGGCUUACCAAGGCAACGAUGCGUAGCCGACCUGAGAGGGUGAUCGGCCACACUGGAACUGAGACACGGUCCAGACUCCUACGGGAGGCAGCAGUAGGGAAUCUUCCGCAGUGGGCGAAAGCCUGACGGAGCAACGCCGCGUGAGUGAAGAAGGUCUUCGGAUCGUAAAACUCUGUUAUUAGGGAAGAACAAAUGUGUAAGUAACUAUGCACGUCUUGACGGUACCUAAUCAGAAAGCCACGGCUAACUAUGUG
Molecule: ribosomal RNA, 497 nt
Filed under: uncultured bacterium
Lineage: Bacteria
Description: partial 16S ribosomal RNA
Rfam family: Bacterial small subunit ribosomal RNA
Source: RNAcentral